This 379-nucleotide ribosomal RNA is filed under the name uncultured bacterium. RNAcentral describes it as "bacterial SSU rRNA". It matches the Rfam family "Bacterial small subunit ribosomal RNA", at positions 521 to 896 of the family's 1533-position model. The record is from RNAcentral.
UAAAACGUAGGACACGAGCGUUAUCCGGAGUUACUGGGCGUAAAGGGCGUUCAGGCGGGUGAUUAAGUUCGCUAUGAAAGCGCCGGGCUAAACCCGGCGAGGCUGGCGGAUACUGAUCAUCUGGAGUGAGUCAGAGGAAGGUAGAAUUCCGCGUGUAGUGGUGAAAUGCGUAGAGAUGCGGAGGAAUACCAGUGGCGAAGGCGGCCUUCUGGGGCUCAACUGACGCUGAAGCGCGAAAGCAUGGGGAGCGAACGGGAUUAGAAACCCCGGUAGUCCAUGCCGUAAACGAUGUGCACUAAACGUUCGGUUUCCGCGAGGGAGCCGGGUGUUGAAGCUAACGCGGUAAGUGCACCGCCUGGGGAGUACGGUCGCAAGGCUA